GACGAACGCUGGCGGCGUGCCUAAUACAUGCAAGUAGAACGCUGAAGGAGGAGCUUGCUCUUCUGGAUGAGUUGCGAACGGGUGAGUAACGCGUAGGUAACCUGCCUGGUAGCGGGGGAUAACUAUUGGAAACGAUAGCUAAUACCGCAUAACAGUAGAUGUUGCAUGACAUUUGCUUAAAAGGUGCAAUUGCACCACUACCAGAUGGACCUGCGUUGUAUUAGCUAGUUGGUGGGGUAACGGCUCACCAAGGCGACGAUACAUAGCCGACCUGAGAGGGUGAUCGGCCACACUGGGACUGAGACACGGCCCAGACUCCUACGGGAGGCAGCAGUAGGGAAUCUUCGGCAAUGGACGGAAGUCUGACCGAGCAACGCCGCGUGAGUGAAGAAGGUUUUCGGAUCGUAAAGCUCUGUUGUAAGAGAAGAACGAGUGUGAGAGUGGAAAGUUCACACUGUGACGGUAUCUUACCAGAAAGGGACGGUUAACUACGUG
Molecule: ribosomal RNA, 495 nt
Filed under: uncultured bacterium
Lineage: Bacteria
Description: partial 16S ribosomal RNA
Rfam family: Bacterial small subunit ribosomal RNA
Source: RNAcentral